This 72-nucleotide transfer RNA is filed under the name human gut metagenome. It matches the Rfam family "tRNA". Rfam says of the family: Transfer RNA (tRNA) molecules are approximately 80 nucleotides in length. Their secondary structure includes four short double-helical elements and three loops (D, anti-codon, and T loops). Further hydrogen bonds mediate the characteristic L-shaped molecular structure. tRNAs have two regions of fundamental functional importance: the anti-codon, which is responsible for specific mRNA codon recognition, and the 3' end, to which the tRNAs corresponding amino acid is attached (by aminoacyl-tRNA synthetases). tRNAs cope with the degeneracy of the genetic code in two manners: having more than one tRNA (with a specific anti-codon) for a particular amino acid; and 'wobble' base-pairing, i.e. permitting non-standard base-pairing at the 3rd anti-codon position. The record is from RNAcentral.
GAGGCUUAGCUCAGUUGGUCAGAGCACUUGCCUUACAAGCAAGGGGUCACCGGUUCAAGUCCAGUAGUCUCC